GACGAACGCUGGCGGCGUGCUUAACACAUGCAAGUCGAUCGGAAAGGCCCUGCUUUUGUGGGGUGCUCGAGUGGCGAACGGGUGAGUAACACGUGAGUAACCUGCCCUUUACUUUGGGAUAACUUCAGGAAACUGGGGCUAAUACCGGAUAGGAGCUCCUGCUGCAUGGUGGGGGUUGGAAAGUUUCGGCGGUUGGGGAUGGACUCGCGGCUUAUCAGCUUGUUGGUGGGGUAGUGGCUUACCAAGGCUUUGACGGGUAGCCGGCCUGAGAGGGUGACCGGCCACAUUGGGACUGAGAUACGGCCCAGACUCCUACGGGAGGCAGCAGUGGGGAAUAUUGCACAAUGGGCGGAAGCCUGAUGCAGCAACGCCGCGUGCGGGAUGACGGCCUUCGGGUUGUAAACCGCUUUCGCCUGUGACGAAGCGUGAGUGACGGUAAUGGGUAAAGAAGCACCGGCUAACUACGUG
This 468-nucleotide ribosomal RNA is filed under the name uncultured bacterium. RNAcentral's name for it is "partial 16S ribosomal RNA". It matches the Rfam family "Bacterial small subunit ribosomal RNA", at positions 28 to 507 of the family's 1533-position model. The record is from RNAcentral.